UUGCCGAAUUGCCGGAACAUUUUUAAUUCCGGCAAUUUGCCGAUUUGCCGAAUUGCCGGAAAAA
This is a non-coding RNA of Caenorhabditis elegans, 64 nucleotides long. The record is from Ensembl. Lineage: Eukaryota; Metazoa; Nematoda; Chromadorea; Rhabditida; Rhabditidae.